This 72-nucleotide transfer RNA is filed under the name Ictidomys tridecemlineatus (thirteen-lined ground squirrel). Its description in RNAcentral is "Spermophilus tridecemlineatus (thirteen-lined ground squirrel) tRNA". It matches the Rfam family "tRNA". From Rfam's summary of the family: Transfer RNA (tRNA) molecules are approximately 80 nucleotides in length. Their secondary structure includes four short double-helical elements and three loops (D, anti-codon, and T loops). Lineage: Eukaryota; Metazoa; Chordata; Mammalia; Rodentia; Sciuridae. The record is from Rfam by way of RNAcentral.
GGGGACAUGGCUCAGUGGUAGAGUGCUUGCCUAAUAUGUGUGUGGCCCUGGAUUCAAUCCCCAGCAUCACCA